GUCUGGGAAUGCAUGGUUUCCCGGCCAGACGCCGAGGGCCCUCAAAGUCCCUAGCAACGGCUGCGGAGGCAGAUUCCACCUAGGUCUGUGCAGGUUACAAAUGGCAACCCAGAACAGGGACUCCAAGGACGCCCAACGAGCAGCAUCCGAACAUGGGACUUCAAGGACGUGAAUGAAGAAGGUCUGCUGGAGCAGAGGAACUGAAAUGGACAAGGUGAACAGGGACCCUGGGAAGAGUCUGCUGGCAGCAUAUAUAAGUCUGUAAAAUCGGAUGGACCGCCAAUUGGAGAAUGAGAGCUGCCCAGCCCAGCCUUACAUUCUUUCAAUUAAUUCAUAAACAGGGGGAUAUGCAGGCAGCCGAAGCCCCGUGGGACAUGAAGCCCCGUGGGAAAUGACCAACUCAGCAUUCCACUGGAGGCUAUAUGAUCAAACAGCAAACUGUUUAUUAUGAAUACAAGAUGUGAGCAAACUCACCACUGCUCCUGCCGACAGAAGGUUUGCUGGAGGCAAUCACUCCCUGGCACCGAGGUUAUCUAGAGGUUAUCUACUGUAACAUCUAGAGAAUGCAGUCUUGCAAGGCUACUCUGAACUGAGAAGCUGACCCCUUCUUCCACCCCCCCACCCUCCUAUCUCUUUUGCCUAAUAAAUACAGAGGGCUGUGUAAAGCUCAGGGCCCUUGUCCACUAGAGGCAAGGUGCUCCCUGACCCCUUCUUCCAAAUAUA
This 723-nucleotide non-coding RNA is filed under the name Pongo abelii (Sumatran orangutan). Lineage: Eukaryota; Metazoa; Chordata; Mammalia; Primates; Hominidae. The record is from RNAcentral.